CUGACAUCACCCCCUGGUCCCCCUGGAAUGCAGUGAUAAGUGUCAGCCUAUUUUUCUUACAGGCAAUUUCUCUGGCUAUGUGAUGUCUGGCUGCAAAUUUAAAGUCUCGGCUGAGCCCCGAGUGCACACCCAUCUUCCUGCCUCUGGAAGAUCUCCCUGCUCCAGGAUCUAUCCAGGAGAGCUGGGCUGCAAAGCAAGCGCAGCAUCCUCGAGCAGGAAUUGCGUUUUAAAAUAUUGUUACACCAUUCGGCUGAGCAAGCUCCUCUCAUCUGCCCUGAGCCGCCGUGUCCUGCUCCAGCUUCAGAUUCCGCAGCAUGUGCAGGAGGGAAGGAUGUUUGUUCCUUCACUGAGAGCCAGGGGACGGGGGAAUUCUGCCACUAAUUUGUUCUGAUCCUGCUGCCUCAUUAGGGCAGUCUGGAAAAGAUGGGAAAUGUGUCCUAUGGCAGUGAACUUUCUGCAUGGAGCUGUUAACACAGUAAAUAGCUCAGGAGGAGGGAGGGAGACAGCUGGAGCACAUUGUGUUUCAUAAAGACUAUACCGGGACCUUGAGUCUUCAUUUAACCCAUCACUGAGGUGACAAAUAUCCACUGCUUUGCUGCUGGGUGAUGCUGCUGCUGCUUGCCUGUUAAUUUAUCUGUUUUCAGGCUGUCUAGACAUUGUUUGGGUCAAAAAGUGCUGUCUCUCCCCUGCCGUGGGAUUUGCCUGCUCAGCUCUUGCUGCAGGCUGCUGUGCCAAACG
RNAcentral lists this long non-coding RNA (738 nucleotides) under Parus major (Great Tit). RNAcentral describes it as "lncRNA (ENSPMJG00000009028.1)". Lineage: Eukaryota; Metazoa; Chordata; Aves; Passeriformes; Paridae. The record is from RNAcentral.